GUGAGUCAUCGAAUCUUUGAACGCACAUUGCGGCCAUAGGUAUUCCUUUGGCCAUGCCUGUUCGAGCGUCAUUUACACCCUCAAGCCUAGCUUGGUGUUGGGCGUCUGUCCCGCCGUUCUCGCGCGCGGACUCGCCUCAAAGUCAUUGGCGGCGGUCGUGCCGGCCCCCUCGCGCAGCACAUUUGCGCUUCUCGGAGGCCCGGCGGAUCCGCGCUCCAGCAAGACCUUUCACGACUUGACCUCGGAUCAGGUAGGGAUACCCGCUGAACUUAAGCAUAUCAAUAAGCGGAGGA
RNAcentral lists this unclassified non-coding RNA (293 nucleotides) under Periconia sp. Its description in RNAcentral is "partial contains 5.8S ribosomal RNA, internal transcribed spacer 2, and large subunit ribosomal RNA". The stretch from base 1 to 71 matches the Rfam family "5.8S ribosomal RNA", at positions 84 to 154 of the family's 154-position model. Lineage: Eukaryota; Fungi; Ascomycota; Dothideomycetes; Pleosporales; Periconiaceae. RNAcentral also lists the same sequence under 1 other name. The record is from RNAcentral.